Molecule: long non-coding RNA, 1196 nt
Filed under: Homo sapiens (human)
Lineage: Eukaryota; Metazoa; Chordata; Mammalia; Primates; Hominidae
Description: novel transcript
Source: RNAcentral
GCCCAAUCAAGCGCGCAGUUGAAGAGGAGUGCAUGGUUUCCGGCAUUUGGCUGGGCCUUUGUCUCUCGCUCCCACCAGAGCUUGGAAUCCGUCUCUGCUCUUCUGCAUUCUCCACCUCGGGAGCCCCUGGGGACUCUGUGACGGCCUCUGUUGCCCUGUGAUCUGCAGGUCCGGAGAGACGCACAGCUAAGAUGUCAGGACAUCCUGGAAGCUGGGAAAGGGUCUUGCCAUCUCUAAGCUGGACCUGGUGACCUUUUUGGAGGGAAAGAAAGAGCCCUGGACUGUGAAGAGUGAGGAGACCAUAGCUGCACAGCCAGUCCAGAUGUAUAAUCUCAUCCCUGAACAUUUCUGAUGGUGUGAUUAUGACAUGUGACUUUAUCUGGCAACAGAGUGAGUUGUUGCUCCCGCCUGAGCCCAGCCCCCAGAAAGGAUUGUGACAUAUCGUUGGACCCAGAAUUGAGGGGGCAUUGUGUCAUAUCGCUGGGCCCCACACAUAGGUUAUGUGACUCUUCUGCCUGUGCCCUGCCCAUGUGGCCCAUUGUGACAUACUGUUGGGUCCCAAACCUAGGUGAUGUAACUCUACUGCUUAGGCCCUGCCUACAGAGGACAUUGUGACAUAUCCCUGCAUCCAUCACACAGGUGCAGUUUUGACACACUUCUGUCUAGCAGCUGAGUAUUGUGAUCUUCAGAACUGGCCCAGCCUACAAAUAGGAUUGUGCCACACUGCUGGACCCAGCACCUAGAUGAUGUAACUAUUCUCCUGCCUUGGUGCUACUCAAAAAAGACAUUAACAUAUCUCAGAGCCUUGCACCCAGGUGGAAUUGUGACAUAUAACUUGGCCAAGCACACAGAUGUAAUGGUGUGGUGACUCUCAUACCUAGAACUGGGACCUGUGCAGGAUUGUUAAUUCAUUACUGGACAUUCCUGUGGGUGUGAUUGUUACAUAUGCCUAUGUUCAGCACCCGAGUGAUUUGAUUUUGCUGCCUGGUCUCAGUCCAAAUGUAAGAUUGUGAUUUAUCGCUGAAUCCAGCACCUCGGUGAUUUGACUCUCCCUUUUUUUGUGGGAGGGAUCCUGCAAAUUUUGGGUAUUGUCAAUUAUUGCUGAAUCCUGUACCCAUGUUAUGACUCUCCCAAAUGUGCCUUACCUGUUGUGGCACAAUAUAUCACAUUAGACAUUGUUAAAUAUUGUUGGGUUC